CAGCAGCCACGGGAAUACGAAGGGGGCUAGCGUUGCUCGGAAUCACUGGGCGUAAAGGGUGCGUAGGCGGAUUCUUAAGUCAGGGGUGAAAUCCCGAGGCUCAACCUCGGAACUGCCUUUGAUACUGGGAAACUUGAGUGCAGAAGAGGAGAGUGGAAUUCCACGUGUAGCGGUGAAAUGCGUAGAGAUGUGGAGGAACACCAGUGGCGAAGGCGACUCUCUGGUCUGUAACUGACGCUGAGGAGCGAAAGCGUGGGGAGCGAACAGGAUUAGAUACCCGAGUAGUCCCUGUCUCUUAUAC
This 301-nucleotide ribosomal RNA is filed under the name uncultured bacterium. RNAcentral describes it as "partial 16S ribosomal RNA". It matches the Rfam family "Bacterial small subunit ribosomal RNA", at positions 509 to 807 of the family's 1533-position model. The record is from RNAcentral.